RNAcentral lists this long non-coding RNA (1410 nucleotides) under Homo sapiens (human). Its description in RNAcentral is "HSALNT0099349". Lineage: Eukaryota; Metazoa; Chordata; Mammalia; Primates; Hominidae. The record is from RNAcentral.
AUUUUUUUUUCCCCAGCAGAAGUUAAAUGCCCUCCUUCAAAGCAGGUGGUUCUGGCUGGAUGAUCAGAAGUGCGGCUGAUCAGGCCCCUGUCGAAUGGCCAGAGAGAAGCCAUCUGGGAUCCCUUCAGUGCCCCUGUGUGUGGGCUUGGCUGGCCUCAUGAACCACACAGGGGUAGGAGCACCUGAUUUGCCGGCUGGGCAUUGGCCUCUCUGUGGCUGAAGAUACAAUGCAUUGGUAGAAAAUGUGAGGUUCGAUUUUUAAUCACCAAUCCAGUCCAGUGAAUGGCUCCUGUUAUUUGUUGCAUGAGAAGAGGAAGAAGAAGAAGAAGGAGAAGAAGAAGAGAAAGAGAAAGAAAGAAAGAAAGAAGAUAGAAGAAGGGGAAGGGAAAGGGGGAGAAGGUGAGGAAACUGAUCAGUGAAUCUGCAUUUCCUGCCCGGGCAGUAGUGGAACUUGGAUUAGAGACCUGGGUCUUUGGGCUUUUUUACCCAAGGGCCUCCACCUGGUGACACCGGGCUUGAAACUUUCACCUGCCCACCUGGCCACACAGACCACGCACCUGUUGUGCAAGAGCCCAAGAGGAAAACGCCCUGGAGCCUCACAGCAAUAUGUGAAAGGAGCAGAAUAUAUUCUGCAGAAUAUAUUCCAGGAGCAGAAGAAAACAGCAAGCUAGGAAAAGCAAGAGGCAGCGCUGGGGACUCACCUGCCCAUAUGGUGAUUCCUAUCUCUUCCCCAGACCUAAGAAGUCUGUCGUCGCUCCCUUCCCAUGUGCCACUUCUUGGUUUUAUUACUCCUUGAAGUUUAGUAUUAAAAUUUAAUCGCCUCUAGAAAAGACACAAUUAUGAAGAAAAUCAAAAGGAUCAGUGGUGCCAGGAGGUAGACCUGGUCGACCAGGUCGACCACCUGGUCUCCCUAACAGGAGGUAGUGGGGAGGAAGGCAUGAGUCGGCAGAGCACAGGGGGUUUCUAGGGCAGUGAGGUGAUUCCACAUAUUACCAUAACAGGGGAUACAGGUCAUUACACAUUUGGCCAAACCCACGGAAUGUCCAGCACCAGGAGUGACCCUAAGGUGAACCGUGGACUCCAGGUGAUGAUGAUGGGCCAGUGCAGGAUCCUUGAUCAUAUCAGAUGUCCCCCUCUGGUGGGGAGUUGAUAAUGGGGGAAGUUGUGCCUGUGCGGGGGCCGGGAGGGGCUGGGAAUUCUCUUUUCCUUCCUCUCAAUUUUGCUGUGAACCCAAACCUGCUCUAAAAAAAAAUCAAGCCUAUUAAUAAAACACAUAACAUGGUAAUACUAUAAACAUAUUUAAUUGGCUAACAAGGAUCUAAUGUAAUACUGGGCAAUUCCUAUCUCUAUGUGAAUUCAUCAUGGCUGCCUAGAAUGGAUCGGAGUUUUGGAGAAGCGAGGAGACAAUUU